RNAcentral lists this unclassified non-coding RNA (342 nucleotides) under soil metagenome. RNAcentral's name for it is "partial contains 5.8S ribosomal RNA, internal transcribed spacer 2, and large subunit ribosomal RNA". The stretch from base 1 to 120 matches the Rfam family "5.8S ribosomal RNA", at positions 35 to 154 of the family's 154-position model. The record is from RNAcentral.
GAUGAAGAACGUAGUGAAAUGCGAUAAGUAGUGUGAAUUGCAGAAUUCAGUGAAUCAUCGAAUCUUUGAACGCACAUUGCGCCCGCCAGCACUCUGGCGGGCAUGCCUGUUCGAGCGUCAUUUCAACCAUCAAGCCCCCAGGGGCUUGUGCUGGGGCCCUGCGGCUGCCCGCAGGCCCUGAAAACCAGUGGCGGGCUCGCUAGUCACACCGAGCGCAGUAGCACAUCUCGCUCAGGGCGUGCGGCGGGCUCCUGCCGUGAAACCCCCCACUGUAACCCCAAAGGUUGACCUCGGAUCAGGUAGGAAUACCCGCUGAACUUAAGCAUAUCAAUAAGCGGAGGA